GUCAGACCUUCCCAGGAUAACCUCCCUUUUUGUUGUUGUUUUGGUUUUUUUGAGACAGGGUCUCACUGUGUAGUUGAGAAUGACCUGGAACUCACUGUGUAGCCCAGGCUGGUCUCGAACUAACAGCGAUCCUCCUGCCUCAGCCUCCCAAGUGCUGGAAUUACAGGUGUGCACCACCAUGCCCCAGCUAACCACCCUUUUGAUAACCCAAGGUCAACCAAUCAGGGACUUUAAUCACCUCUGCAGCAUCCAUGGGUCCCCUGACCCGGCCAUGGGGAGCAAUGGAAUUGCAGGGUGGGGUCCUGUCCUGCGCACAUCUGCCCCUCUGGGGAGCAGUUGGGCGAAGCUGUGUGCCUCAGGGGCUGAAGCCUCUGAGAACCCUGCCUCCUGCAGGCUGUGAUCUUUGGAGAGGAGAAAAUGCGCCUCUGUUGCCUGCAUCGUGGGCCUCAUUUUCCCAUCUCCUCCAGGACGAGGAUGGCCUCCUAGCAGUCACAUCUUGUGCCUGCAGGGAAGGAGAAAGCAGCAGCAGCAGCUGUGAUCAAAUUUGGGUCCUGGUGCUUGCGAGGCAGGUGGCAGAACCACUGAGCUAAAUCCCGGCCCCUACAACUAUAUUUUUAACAGAAUGUAACCUAAAACUUAUUUUUCACUAAAUACACGUCUUACACUGUUCCGUUCUGGUGUUCUCUGUGAGUAUAAAGCAUUCUGUCACUUGCCUGGCUUCUGUUGCUGAUUUGCCAUAAAUUUGAAGGGGGUAAAGAUACAGGAUGCAUCCUCCUGCCCGUAGAGUUUUUCUUUACCCAAAAUGUGAAGAAGAAAACCUGGAAAUGUUGUUAAGAGAUUUGACUCCUCCAGACCCUCAGGGAAUCCACGUAAAAGGGUUGCGCUCGGAAUUCAUGUCUAACUUACCAUCUGUGCUCAGGUGCAUGGAUGCAGAAAUAGUGGAUGUGUGCAUCAUACGUGGAGUAGCAGUCCGUGCACAUGUAGUCCCCAGCUGUUUACUGAGAGGGCUGAAAAGCCAUCACACCCCACCUACAUACACCCCGCACCCAGGUCUCGGAUUCUAAAUACCUUUCCUGAAUAAGAGGAGCCAGGACUGCUAGGAAAAGUGACAAAUUCUAAGCCUAAGUCAGAGGAAAUAGGAGAUGGCCAGGAGCACUUGUAGAGGCAGAAA
Molecule: long non-coding RNA, 1171 nt
Filed under: Fukomys damarensis (Damara mole-rat)
Lineage: Eukaryota; Metazoa; Chordata; Mammalia; Rodentia; Bathyergidae
Description: lncRNA (ENSFDAG00000030410.1)
Source: RNAcentral